CCUACGGGAUGCAGCAGUGGGGAAUAUUGCACAAUGGGCGCCAGCCUGAUGCAGCCAUGCCGCGUGUGUGAAGAAGGCCUUCGGGUUGUAAAGCACUUUCAGCGGGGAGGAAGGCGAUAAGGUUAAUAACCUUGUCGAUUGACGUUACCCGCAGAAGAAGCACCGGCUAACUCCGUGCCAGCAGCCGCGGUAAUACGGAGGGUGCAAGCGUUAAUCGGAAUUACUGGGCGUAAAGCGCACGCGGGCGGUCUGUCAAGACGGAUGUGAAAUCCCCGGGCUCAACCUGGGGGCUGCAUUCGAAACUGGCAGGCUAGAGUCUUGUAGGGGGGGGUAGAAUUACAGGUGUAGCGGUGAAAUGCGUAGAGAUCUGGAGGAAUACCGGUGGCGAAGGCGGCCCCCUGGACAAAGACUGACGCUCAGGUGCGAAAGCGUGGGGAGCAAACAGGAUUAGAUACCCGGGUAGUC
RNAcentral lists this ribosomal RNA (465 nucleotides) under uncultured bacterium. RNAcentral describes it as "bacterial SSU rRNA". It matches the Rfam family "Bacterial small subunit ribosomal RNA", at positions 338 to 795 of the family's 1533-position model. The record is from RNAcentral.